CCAGAGAUUAUCAUGAAGGCACUGUUUCUCAUUCCAACCCGAAGGACCCCUUGAAAGCAGAGCGGACAAAUAUGGACUCUGAAUGGAGCACUGCAUUAGGGAAGGGGUGGCAGGAAGCAGAAGAGUCGAAGUGCUAUAUUGACUCUUGAACAUCUCCACUUUUCUCCAAGAACAGAGGUGCAGGGUCCAGACUUCAAGACAUUCACAGUUUGGGAGGCAGUCCGAAAUAACCACCGUGGAGCACUCAUCACAGUGGCACUCAGAAAGGCUCCAGCCCUCAUAAAGGGAAAAGAGGAGAAGUUUACCAAAAGCCUUCCCAUCCUUACCGGUCUUCUGGAUGUGCCUGGAUCUGCCCACAAGUUAGAAGGCAGGACUCUUUCUGUGGUUGUGUUGGAAGCCCAGACCACCUCUCUAUAGCCCAAGAGCAUAAUUCUAAAGAAGGCAGCACCAUUCCGGGGAAGCCUGGCACACAGGAGAUAACACACUAGGCUGUGCCCGCAAGGAUGCCAGCUCUGUCCAGCCACAGCCCACCACAGGGUGAGCCACUUAGAAGAUAUGGCACACUUUAUUAAAGACAGG
This 579-nucleotide long non-coding RNA is filed under the name Fukomys damarensis (Damara mole-rat). RNAcentral's name for it is "lncRNA (ENSFDAG00000029405.1)". The record is from RNAcentral. Lineage: Eukaryota; Metazoa; Chordata; Mammalia; Rodentia; Bathyergidae.